CUCACCAUAGCUCAGUUGGUAGAGCGUCGGACUGUAAAUCCGCAGGUCCUGUGUUCGACUCACAGUGGUGAGA
This 73-nucleotide transfer RNA is filed under the name Trichosporon asahii var. asahii CBS 8904. RNAcentral describes it as "tRNA-Tyr (GTA) (tRNA-Tyr-GTA-2 1 to 7)". It matches the Rfam family "tRNA". Rfam says of the family: Transfer RNA (tRNA) molecules are approximately 80 nucleotides in length. Lineage: Eukaryota; Fungi; Basidiomycota; Tremellomycetes; Trichosporonales; Trichosporonaceae. The record is from RNAcentral.